GACGAACGCUGGCGGCGUGCUUAACACAUGCAAGUCGAACGAAGAGCGAUGGAAGCUUGCUUCUAUCAAUCUUAGUGGCGCACGGGUGAGUAACGCGUAAUCAACCUGCCCUUCAGAGGGGGACAACAGUUGGAAACGACUGCUAAUACCGCAUACGAUCUAAUCUCGGCAUCGAGGAUAGAUGAAAGGUGGCCUCUACAUGUAAGCUACCACUGAAGGAGGGGAUUGCGUCUGAUUAGCUAGUUGGAGGGGUAACGGCCCACCAAGGCGAUGAUCAGUAGCCGGUCUGAGAGGAUGAACGGCCACAUUGGGACUGAGACACGGCCCAGACUCCUACGGGAGGCAGCAGUGGGGAAUCUUCCGCAAUGGACGAAAGUCUGACGGAGCAACGCCGCGUGAGUGAUGACGGCCUUCGGGUUGUAAAGCUCUGUUAAUCGGGACGAAAGGCCUUCUUGCGAAUAGUGAGAAGGAUUGACGGUACCGGAAUAGAAAGCCACGGCUAACUACGUG
This 510-nucleotide ribosomal RNA is filed under the name uncultured bacterium. RNAcentral's name for it is "partial 16S ribosomal RNA". It matches the Rfam family "Bacterial small subunit ribosomal RNA", at positions 28 to 507 of the family's 1533-position model. The record is from RNAcentral.